CAGUAGCCGCGGUAACACAGAGGAUGCAAGCGUUGUCCGGAAUUAUUGGGCGUAAAGGGCUCGCAGGCGGUUUCUUAAGUCUGAUGUGAAAGCCCCCGGCUCAGCCGGGGAGGGUCAUUAGAAACUGGGAAACUUGAGUGCAGAAGAGGAGAGUGGAAUUCCACGUGUAGCGGUGAAAUGCGUAGAGAUGUGGAGGAACACCAGUGGCGAAGGCGACUCUCUGGUCUGUAACUGACGCUGAGGAGCGAAAGCGUGGGGAGCGAACAGGAUUAGAUACCCCUGUAGUCCCUGUCUCUUAUAC
This 301-nucleotide ribosomal RNA is filed under the name uncultured bacterium. RNAcentral's name for it is "partial 16S ribosomal RNA". It matches the Rfam family "Bacterial small subunit ribosomal RNA", at positions 509 to 807 of the family's 1533-position model. The record is from RNAcentral.